GACGAACGCUGGCGGCGUGCUUAACACAUGCAAGUCGAACGGAAAGGCCCUGCUCUUGUGGGGCGCUCGAGUGGCGAACGGGUGAGUAACACGUGAGUAACCUGCACCUGACAUUGGGAUAAAUUCAGGAGACAGGGGCUAAUACCGGAUAGGAGCUACUGCUGCAUGGGGGGGGAUGGAAAGUUACGGCGGUUGUGGAUGGAUUAGCGGCUUAUCAGCUUGUUGGUGGGGUAGUGGAUUACCAAGGCUUUGACGGGUAGCCGGCCUUAGAGGGUGACCGGCCACAAUGGUACUGAGAGACGGCGCAGACGGCUACGGGACGCAGUAGUGGGGAAUAUUGCACAAUGGGCCGAAGCCUGAUGUAGAGACGCCGCGUGCGUGAUGACCGCCUUCUGGUUAUAAACCGCUUUCUCCUGAGACGAAGCGUGAUUGACGGUAAUGAGUAAAGAAGCACCGGCUAACUACGUG
Molecule: ribosomal RNA, 468 nt
Filed under: uncultured bacterium
Lineage: Bacteria
Description: partial 16S ribosomal RNA
Rfam family: Bacterial small subunit ribosomal RNA
Source: RNAcentral